This 309-nucleotide ribosomal RNA is filed under the name uncultured bacterium. RNAcentral describes it as "partial 16S ribosomal RNA". It matches the Rfam family "Bacterial small subunit ribosomal RNA", at positions 504 to 807 of the family's 1533-position model. The record is from RNAcentral.
AGAGACAGCAGUAGCCGCGGUAAUACGAGGGGUGCAAGCGUUAUUCGGAUUGAUUGGGUGUAAAGGGUGUGCAGACGGCUUAUUAAGUCACUUGUUAAAUUCUUCGGCCUAACUGAAGGUCUGCAAGUGAUACUGAUGAGCUAGAGGGUGGAAGAGAGAAGUGGAAUUCUCGGAGUAGCGGUAAAAUGCGUAGAUCUCGAGAGGAACACCAAUGGCGAAGGCAGCUUCUUGGUCCAUUCCUGACGUUCAUACACGAAAGCGUGGGGAGCAAACAGGAUUAGAUACCCGCGUAGUCCCUGUCUCUUAUAC